Non-coding RNA from Arachis ipaensis, 1835 nucleotides. The record is from RefSeq and is a predicted model, not a curated record. NCBI's taxonomy places the organism in Eukaryota, Viridiplantae, Streptophyta, Magnoliopsida, Fabales, Fabaceae.
AUCAUCCAUUGUUGAAGUAGACAGUGAGAAAAGUUAAUCCAGAAAGAGAAAGCAUCUCCGAAGCCUCAACCGCUCUCUUAUCAUUGAUUUAACACCAAUCCGGUAACUCUUUUCUUAUUCUAUUUUAUGUGUUUUUAACCAACCAACCAUCCUUUCUAAUCGCCUGACUGAGAUCCACAAGAUGGCCAUUGCUUGCUCAAUCCGAUAAUCUCUAUGGGAUUCGAUCCUCACUCACCUGAGGUAUUACUUGGACGACCCGAUGCACUUACCGGUUCAUCUGUGCAAAAGUUUGCAGAGUCAAUUUCGUACACCAGUGGCUGGUGGUCAUGGACAAAAGAGAGUGACUCCUAUGCCUUCUAAACAAAGCACUCAAAAAGACAUUCUAAUUUCCAAAAGAACGAAAAGUAAGCCGAACCAGAAAAUUAGAGCUAGUGAAGAAGAACCAUAAAAUCUUAAAAAGCAUCCAACCAUGGGUAUGGAUAAAUUUUUGGAGACACAUGGGAUUCAUUUGGAAAGAGAAGAUGACAAUUUUGAACGAAGUGCUAAAAACGAAAAAUCUAUUCAGGAAAAGCAACAAAAUCUUAAGAAGAUAAAUACAAAAUCAAGUUGUCAAACCAUGACACUUGAUACAUUUUUGGAGACAAAUGGGAUUCAUGUGGAAGGAGAGGAAGAACAUAGUGGAGCAAAUGCUAAUGAAGUUGGAGAUGAUGAUGAUGAUGAUUUCUUGGAUGAUGAGGACUAUGUUGGUGAAUAUGAAGAUGCAGUUCUUCAUGGUGAUGACAAUUACCUUAUGGAAACUAACAAUGUUGAAGAUACUCCAAAGACUAGAAGGACACGAGAAAAAACAAGGUGUGCUAAAAUCUAUGCAAGAAGUUGGGAAGAAAGAGAAGAGGUGACUUUUUAUGGAGGACAAGCAGUGGGACCAACUCCAAGAAGAGUGAAGGACUUAACUUACUUUACUGGAACAAUGGGAAGGAAUAGUGAUUUCAUAACCUUGAUGUACACUAAUUAAAAAGAUGUGCCCCUCAAAGUCAAAAAGCGCAUAUAGAAAUAUAUUAAGUCAAAGUUCAUUCUUCCAAAAGAGGGAAAAGAGUGGGUGAUGACUCGUGUUCGAGAAGCUUGGAAAGGUUACAAAACAAGAAUCAAGAAAAAGCAUUUUGAGAUAUAUAACAACAUUAUAGAUAUGUUGAAAAAUCUCCCUUCAGAUAUUCCAGAAGUCCAAUUUCAAAAGUUAAUUGCAUAUUGGAGUAUUCCUUCUGUUAAGCGUGAAAUGAAUGAGAACAAAGAAGACCCAUCACAAGUUGAUGUGUUUGUUGCAACUCGAACUGGACGAAAAGGAAAAGAGCUUGAUUCAGGAACACAAGCUGUUAUUGAUAAACUUAAGGGCCAUCAAAAAGCCAGAGACACUCCCAAGAAAGCAUUUACUGCAGUAUUUGGCAAAGAACAACCAGGAAGAGUUCGAUGUUAUGGGAGGACAAUCACAAAAACAUCUCUGCAGAAAGAAUGGGAGAUUGCUAAAAUUAAGUAACAACAUGCAGAGACUACAAGUUCAAUGAAAAUUGAACUUCAUGAGACAAAAGACAAAGUCCAAAGUUUGGAGGAUCUUGUGAAACUUCUCUUGCAACGGAGUUCUCUUAGCACAAAUAUUGAUGAAGCACUGUCUUUAUUACGAGCCAAGGAAUCAACACAUGAUAUAAAUAAUAUGCAAUGUCCGAAUGAUUUAGCAUAUGGGACAAGUCAAGCAUGGAUAUAAAAUAUCACUACAACAUUUUUUAGCUAUUGUAAUAUAUACUGCAAAUAACACUCAAAAAGUGUUAUCUAAACUAACUAAAGAC